AUGGAUAGUGGCUGCACCAACCACAUGACUGGUGAUCGAAGUCUUCUGAUGAAUUCAACUCUUCGACCUUCUGAUAAAAGUCAUAUCACAUUUGCUGACAAUGGUAAAAGUAAGGUACUGGGUCUUGGUAGAGUUGCAAUCUCAAAGGAUCAACACAUGGAUAAAGUGAUGCUUGUUGAAUCCUUUGAUUUCAACUUAAUGUUUGUAUCAAUGCUAUGUGAUUUGAACAUGAUUGUGAUAUUUAGAAAGUAUCAUUGUCUUGUCCUUAUGGAAUCUGACAAAUCUCUAGUAUUUGAAGGGUAUCCAAAAGAUGAUCUGUAUAUGGUAGAUUUCUCAGCAGGACCACAACUUGCCGUAUGUCUUCUAGCAAAAGCUUCAUAG
This 381-nucleotide ribosomal RNA is filed under the name Triticum aestivum (bread wheat). Its description in RNAcentral is "partial small subunit ribosomal RNA". Lineage: Eukaryota; Viridiplantae; Streptophyta; Magnoliopsida; Poales; Poaceae. The record is from RNAcentral.